RNAcentral lists this non-coding RNA (24 nucleotides) under Arabidopsis thaliana (thale cress). The record is from RNAcentral. Lineage: Eukaryota; Viridiplantae; Streptophyta; Magnoliopsida; Brassicales; Brassicaceae.
UUAUGUGUCAUUUGGAACAAGGAC